This 252-nucleotide ribosomal RNA is filed under the name uncultured Bacteroidales bacterium. Its description in RNAcentral is "partial 16S ribosomal RNA". It matches the Rfam family "Bacterial small subunit ribosomal RNA", at positions 524 to 776 of the family's 1533-position model. Lineage: Bacteria; Pseudomonadati; Bacteroidota; Bacteroidia; Bacteroidales. The record is from RNAcentral.
UACGGAGGAUGCGAGCGUUAUCCGGAUUUAUUGGGUUUAAAGGGUGCGUAGGCGGGUUAUCAAGUCAGCGGUAAAAUCGUGGAGCUCAACUCCAUCCAGCCGUUGAAACUGAUGAUCUUGAGUGGGCGAGAAGUAUGCGGAAUGUAUGGUGUAGCGGUGAAAUGCGUAGAGAUCAUACAGAACACCGAUUGCGAAGGCAGCUUACCAAACUAUAUCUGACGUUGAGGCACGAAAGCGUGGGUAUCGAACAGG